This 430-nucleotide ribosomal RNA is filed under the name uncultured Leptolyngbya sp. RNAcentral's name for it is "bacterial SSU rRNA". It matches the Rfam family "Bacterial small subunit ribosomal RNA", at positions 355 to 797 of the family's 1533-position model. Lineage: Bacteria; Bacillati; Cyanobacteriota; Cyanophyceae; Leptolyngbyales; Leptolyngbyaceae. The record is from RNAcentral.
UGGGGAAUUUUUCCGCAAUGGGCGAAAGCCUGACGGAGCAAUACCGCGUGAGGGAGGACGGCUUUUGGGUUGUAAACCUCUUUUAUCAGGGAAGAAAAAAAUGACGGUACCUGAUGAAUCAGCAUCGGCUAACUCCGUGCCAGCAGCCGCGGUAAUACGGAGGAUGCAAGCGUUAUCCGGAAUUAUUGGGCGUAAAGCGUCCGUAGGUGGUUUUUCAAGUCUGCUGUCAAAGCGUGGAGCUUAACUCCAUAUCGGCAGUGGAAACUGGGAGACUAGAGUGCGAUAGGGGUAACGGGAAUUCCCAGUGUAGCGGUGAAAUGCGUAGAGAUUGGGAAGAACACCAGCGGCGAAAGCGCGUUACUGGGUCUGCACUGACACUGAGGGACGAAAGCUAGGGGAGCGAAAGGGAUUAGAUACCCCCWGUAGUCAA